UACGUAGGUGGCAAGCGUUGUUCGGAAUUACUGGGCGUAAAGCGCGUGUAGGCGGCUCUUCAAGUCAGACGUGAAAGCCCCGGGCUUAACUCGGGAACUGCGUUUGAUACUGUCGAGCUAGAGUGUGGAAGGGGCGAUUGGAAUUCCGUGUGUAGCGGUGAAAUGCGUAGAGAUCCGGAGGAACACCAGAGGCGAAGGCGGCCUACUGGGCUAGUACUGACGCUGAGCCGCGAAAGCCAGGGGAGCGAACGGG
Molecule: ribosomal RNA, 253 nt
Filed under: uncultured bacterium
Lineage: Bacteria
Description: partial 16S ribosomal RNA
Rfam family: Bacterial small subunit ribosomal RNA
Source: RNAcentral